RNA transcript from Phyllopteryx taeniolatus (common seadragon), 5538 nucleotides. It is a transcript of the gene named leucine rich repeat (in FLII) interacting protein 1b, with no coding region annotated. The transcript is spliced from 15 exons. The record is from RefSeq and is a predicted model, not a curated record. NCBI's taxonomy places the organism in Eukaryota, Metazoa, Chordata, Actinopteri, Syngnathiformes, Syngnathidae.
GGUAAAGUGGGAAGCGGUGAGGCUGCCGUGCUGACGGUCCGGCGCCGUCCUUCAGAUCACCUGUCGCCACCAUGGAGCGUGUUUUGUUUUCCCGGAAGCAACUAGGCGGCUCGCAGGCUCACGGCGGAUGUUGACAGAGGCGGAUUAACGGGUUUUCGGGGCGGAGGAGGGACGACAUUUGUGACGGAGCCGGUUUCAAGCAUUUUGUGGUUCUGACACGGGGCUAACGUUAGCUUAGCCACGAAAGACUCCGGAGCUUCAAUGAGACGUGGAGCCCGAUAAAAGGUCUUGAAGCUGUUUGACGGUCAACGCGUCUGUCUAGUGUCGGUCGAGCCUGGGAACACAAGUGCGGUGUGUUCCAAAGACGAACGAACGGUUGGUACGUGGCUGGUGGGGAGAUUUGUGGACUAUGGGGACUCAAGGACCCGGCAGAAGGAGGCUGCCGAACCUGGAGAAGCUGACCGCAGAGGACGAUGCUCUCAAACAGAUCGCCCGGGAGGCGGAAGCGCGUUUGGCAGCGAGGCGGGCAGCGAGGGCGGAGGCCAGAGAUAUUCGGAUGAAAGAGCUGGAGAGGCAACACAAAGAGAAGUAUUACGGUCUGGAUUAUAAAUGGGGUCACAUUGAACAGUGGAUGGAGGACGGCGAGCGCUAUUCUCGCCACUCGCGGAGAAUCGCUUCGCUGUCAGAUGAUGAAGAGCGGAUGUCUGUGGGGAGUCGAGGCAGUCUAAAGCCUUCAGACUACAGCUCAUUUCUCGGUUCUGGCUCUCGGGCAUCCUCCAGAGCUAGUUCAGCUCGGGCAAGCCCUGUGGUGGAGGACAGACUUGACAGAGAUUUUCUGGAUAGAGGCUCCAGGACAGCAAUGAACCUUUCUGCAGCCACUCUAUCGCCGCUGGGUGGAGCUUCAUCUCGCAGAGGAAGCUGUGACACAUCAAUCUCCGUAGAGAUGGAGGCAUCAAUCAGGGAGAUGAAGGACUCCGUGGCAGAGGCAGAGGAAAAGUAUCGCCGGGCGAUGGUUUCAAAUGCUCAGCUGCACAACGACAAGUCAACUUUGAUGUAUCAGGUGGAAACUCUGCGGGAGGAACUGAGUGACAUGGAGGAGCUGCUUUGGGAGGCGCGACGCCAAUCCGAUGAGCGCACAAAGGCAUAUGAGCGUGAGCGGGACUGUCACUUUGUCCUUCAGUUCCAGUUUAAAGAGAUGAAAGAGACUAUGAGACGAAGUGAAGAACUGCUGAUGGAAGCGUCACAGUUACGAGAACAAACACAUGCUUACUCUCUGGAGGUGUCUGACUUGCAGGAGGCUCUGCAGUGGAAGGAGAAGAAGAUUGCGGCUUUAGAGCGUCAGAGGGAAAUCUCUGACGUCAUUCAAAUCGAGCGCGACCAGCUGAGAGUUGAGGUGCUCACCCUCCGAGAUGUUCUCAAGAAAUACGGAGAGGUCAUUUCCCCUGAGGUCGCAACCAAUGGGGGGCCUAGAUUGGACGAGGCUGAGGAAGAGGUCAGCAACAGCUUUGCAUCCCAGUUGGCAAAGGAAGCUCCCGGGAGCAGAGAGAGCAUGCUGGGCAGCACUGGAGACAUGACAUCUCGCCUUUGUCACAUAAAUAAACCCUCCCAGUCGCUCAGUUUCAUCUCGAUUGGCAAGCACGUACAAGCUUCAAAUGUGAGCCGGGAGGCCCGUGCAAGAAAACAAAUGACUUACAAAGGAAGAAGAAAAGAUCAGAUGAGGACAUUUCCCACCAGACUGAAGGGAAAGUGUGUGUCCAAGAACAAGGCAAUCACAAAACAAGCAUUGAAGCAGCGUGGAAACUCUGCACUUGAAUUGACUUUUGUACCCAAAUUCAAGUCAUUUGUAGAGUCACCAGAUGAAGCUCAGUUGUCCAAACAUCAGCGCGAAAGCCAUACAAAACUCCAAAAAUCCACCUCGCAUAUUUGUAGGACUUCCACUGAAAAAGUCCACAAACCAGGUAAGCCUUUACCUGUCUGGGACAUGAUCUUGGAACAAAAGAACCUCAGGUCUGGAAACUCAGCAGACCAGCAGAAGACAUAUCACAUCACCUUAUCUUUGUCACCUCAACACAAAACUUUGCAGUAUGACUCUAACCGCUCGACAGGCCAGACAAUGAAUGAGAAGCUCGCUCAAGGUUUCUUUGCACCCACUGGGGUGAGAGACUCUGUGGACCCACAUUGUUCAGCAAGUCUCAUACGUGAAGAUUUCAAGGACUGUCCUGCAAAAUAUGAGGGAACAGGAAAUACGUCAGAGAAAUGUGAGACAUCUAAUGAAGAGGCAGAUCAACCAAAUAUGACCGACUUCCUCACAAAGUGGCCAGCAGAUUCGGCGACCUCUGAUGCUGUCGGUCAAAGUUGCAAGUUCCGAAGGUUUGUUGAGGAAAUCAAGGUCAUGGCGGCUCCUGAAUGGGUACUGCAAGAACUCCCAGAAGGAAAACUCUUUGAAGAGCAGCACUGCAGCCAGAUCCUGGAGACAAAUAUGCAAGCGAUCCAGGAGGCAUCAGUGGCAGACAUGGACAGUUGCGAGGAGGCCCAUGAGGAGAUGGCGCAGUAAUCAGCUGCUAUAUAGCAGGAGUCAGCCGAGAGUAAAAGAAGAACAGAGUCUAAACAUCAAGAAAUGCAAAAAUAUUUCCAAGCUCUCCUAGUGGAAGGAAACAAUAAAUUUUUCGUCAAAUGUGGAGUUGCUGGGCAGCACGGUGUACAAGUGGUUAGCCUGUCUGCCUCAAUUCUGAGGUUGGGGUUUGAAUCUUUUAGAAGAAGAAGAAUCACCUUUUAUUGUCAUGAACAUGCAUGCAUGCACACGAAAUUUAUUCUCUGAAUUUUACCCAUCACAGUGAACACAUACACAUUCACGUUAGUGGAACACACUGGAGCACGGGGCCGCUGAAGCGCACAGGGAGCAUUUCAGGGUAUCAGUGUCUUGCUCAAGGACACCACAGCCGUGAGUCCGGGGGAUGGUCCAGUUGGGGUCUUGAACCUAGGUCCCCCACAGUGGCAGACAAUGAUCUUAACCAUUUGGCCACAGCUGUCAGCACUCAUGUGCAGAGUUUGCAUAUUCUUUCCUUGUUUGUGUGGGUUUUCUGUAGGUGCUACGGCUUCCUCCCAUGUUCCAAAAACAGCUUGGUAUGAUGAUUGAAGACUAUAAAUCAGGGGUGUCCAAACUGCAGCCUGCUGUCAGUUUUUUUUAGCCUGUGAAAUACAGUAGUGUCUUGAGGUGUGAGUGACUCGACUUACGAGCCAUAAUUUGGCCGAUUUUCUUAAUUUCAUGUGAGAUACGAGCGCUGUACGGCGGCAGUGAAUUCAACUGAACUCACUUUAAAACAAGCAGCAGUUUGGCAUAUAGAAUUAGCGAACAACUCUCCAAAAAAUAAUAUAUUGCCUCCCCCAGUUGAAGUGUACCGUCAAAGUAAACAUAAAACAAUGACAAUUACGCAUUGUGUAUUUAAAACAACAACAUAACUUUGCUUUAAAGGCUGCUAUCUUAAUACUAAAACAUAAUGGACAAUUAAGUUGUGUGUAAAAAUGUGAAAUGUCACAGGGAUAAACUAUUGAACACAUGAAGAUAGGGAGGUGCAAAAAGCCAUGGAAAGCCAAGACAACAACUAAAAUCUCUCAAUAAUCAAACAGUAAUCCAGCCCCUUGUCAGUGCAAAUGAAUAUCAGCUGUUUCAGUCCUAAUUGAUGGACUACAUAAGGGUCUAAUUGCCAAGGUGUGAGUCAAGACACAUCUCAUGAUGGGUAAGAGCAGAGAGCUGUCUCAAGACCAUCGCAAACUAAUUGUUGCAAAACAUAACGAUGGCAUUGGUUACAGGCGCAUAUCUAAGCUUCUGAACGUUCUAGUGAGCACGGUCAUAAUAUGUACAGUUAAGUGGAAAGCCAAUCAUACCACCAUAAAUUUGCCUCGAUCAUGUGCUCCUUGAACCAUUUCUGACAGAGAAGUGCAAAGACUAAUCAGAAGAGUUCUCCAAGAGCCAAUGACCACAUGUGGAGAGCUUCAAAAAGACCUGGAAUUAGCAGGUACUGUUGCCACAAGAAAAGUAAUAAUAAAAGUAGUUAUGUACUCCGCCGCCAUGGCCUAUAUGCUCGCUUACCACGCAAGACCCAUUUCUGAAAAUAAAGCAUGUCAAAGGUCAUUUAAAGUUUACUGAACAACAUUUGGGCGAGCCAGUUGAAUUCUGGGAGUAUAUAGUCUGGUCGAAUGAGAGCAAAAUUGAACUCUUCGGAUGCCAUAAUGCACACCACGUUUGGAGGAGAAAUGGCACUGCACAUCACCUUAAAAACACCAUACCAACAGUGAAGUUCGGAGGUGUGGGGCUGCUUUCAGCAAAUGGUACUGGUAAACUUCACAUUAUUGAAGGAAGGAUGAAUGGGCAAAUGUACCGAAACAUUCUUGACAAAAAUAUCCUGGCAUCUACGAGGAUGAUGAAAAUGAAACGAUAUUUGAGCAGGAUAAUGAUCCAAAACAUACUGCCAAGGAAACUCUCAAUUGGUUUCAAGAAAAAAAACAAAGCUGCUCGAAUGCCUCAGCCAAUCACUUGACUUGAAUCCAAUUGAAAAUCGAUGGGAAGAACUGAAACUCAAGGUCCAUAAAAGCCCACAGAAGCUUCAAGAUUUGAAGACUGCUUGUGUGGAGGAGUGGGCCAAAAUCACACCAGAGCAAUCCGUGCAACUAGUUUCCCCAUACAGGAGGCGUCUUGAAGCUGUCAUUGCAAACAAAGGCUUUUGUACAAAGUAUUAAAGAAACACCAUUUGGCGUAUUCAAUACAUUUUCCCUGUGUCAUUUCACAUUAUUACACAUAACUUAAUUUCUGAACGUAUUUGUUGUAUUUUCUUUGAAUGUAUUGAUUACUUGGGUUGUUCCCAACAUCUGGUGACAUUUUCAUGUCAAUAGCACCUUGGGAAAUAUAUUUAAUGAGAAAAAUGGUGACGUGUUAAAUGCUUAUUUCAGCCGUUGUAUUUUGCGGAGUUACAGUAUAACCCUUUAAGCAACGGAACGUACAGCAACACAUGUAAACAGAUAAUAUAACAGCAUUCACAGUCAUUUAUCCUCUAUGAAGGAUGAUUAAUAAUAGAGCAUUUCUGAGGGCUUAUCUGAAGUCCUAGCUCCUUAGUCCUUAAAACAUUGAAAGCGAGCCAGUUGUUGUCAUGCUGCCAUAUUAAGGAUAGUCUCAGUUGUCUUAAAUGCGCAUCAAGGAGCUAGCUUCCACGGGCUAGCUUAAAUCGAGGGACAUCUGAUGUAUCCCCUGCGGAAGUCUCAUAGCUCCUUGACGGUGACGUAUGAAAAUGGCCGUGCACCAGCUGUAAAUGGAACAGAACUUCAAAUUAAAUAGUUAAUCCUCUCUUUUCAUCAUUCCUUGAUUAUUUUAGUUUGAAUAUACAUAUUUUGCUGUGUCUCUUCUUUUUGGGGCCGUAUUUGAUACCGAAAUGACCUCAUUACACUGGCUCGUGGUGACUACGCCUAAUACCAACCACCUAUCGCUGAGAGCUGCAUCUGAAGAAGCUAUUUGAAGAAAGAGAAAGUUUCCAGGAUCAGGUGAGA